Molecule: ribosomal RNA, 666 nt
Filed under: uncultured eukaryote
Lineage: Eukaryota
Description: bacterial SSU rRNA
Rfam family: Eukaryotic small subunit ribosomal RNA
Source: RNAcentral
GCUCGUAGUCGGAUUUCUGGAUUUGGGACUUGGUCCGUACCUCACGGUAUGUGUACUUUGUUCCUGAAUCCAUAUUCGGGGAAAACCAGCGGCAUUUAGUUGUCUGUUGGGUUCCUUUCCCCGUCGUUUACUGUGAGCAAAAUAGAGUGUUCAAAGCAGGCUUAUGCCGGUUGAAUACAUUAGCAUGGAAUAAUAAGAUAAGACCUUGGUAUUAUUUUGUUGGUUUGCAUUCCAAGGUAAUGAUUGAUUGGGACAGUUGGGGGUAUUCGUAUUCAAUUGUCAGAGGUGAAAUUCUUGGAUUUAUGGAAGACGAACUACUGCGAAAGCUUUUACCAAGGAUGUUUUCUUAGAUCAAGAACGAAAGUAAGGGGGAUCGAAAGAUGAUUAGAUACCAUCGUAGUCUUUUACCAUAAACUAUGCCCGACUAGGGGAUUGGUGGGACGUUUUUUAUGACUCCCAUCAGCACCUUUAUGAGAAAAUCAAAAGUCUUUUGGGGUUCGGGGGGGGAGUAUUGGCCGCAAGGGCUGAAAACUUAAAAGGAAAUUGACGGGAAGGGCCACCACCCAGCAGUGGAGCCUGCGGCUUAAAUUUGGACUCAAACACGGGGGAAACUCCACCAGGUCCCAGGACAUAGUGGAGGAUUGACAAGAUUGAGAGCUCUUUCUU